AAUAGAUACCCCGGUAGUCCAUGCCGUAAACGUUGGGAACUAGAUGUAGGGCCUGUUCCACGGGUUCUGUGUCGUAGCUAACGCAUUAAGUUCCCCGCCUGGGGAGUACGGCCGCAAGGCUAAAACUCAAAGGAAUUGACGGGGGCCCGCACAAGCGGCGGAGCAUGCGGAUUAAUUCGAUGCAACGCGAAGAACCUUACCAAGGCUUGACAUAUACGAGAACACUGUAGAGAUACAGGACUCUUUGGACACUCGUAUACAGGUGGUGCAUGGUUGUCGUCAGCUCGUGUCGUGAGAUGUUCGGUUAAGUCCGGCAACGAGCGCAACCCUCGUCCUAUGUUGCCAGCACGUGAUGGUGGGAACUCAUGGGAUACUGCCGUGGUCAACACGGAGGAAGGUGGGGAUGACGUCAAAUCAUCAUGCCCCUUAUGUCUUGGGCUUCACGCAUGCUACAAUGGCCGGUACAAAGGGCUGCGAUACCGUAAGGUGGAGCGAAUCCCAAAAAGUCGGUCUCAGUUCGGAUUGGGGU
RNAcentral lists this ribosomal RNA (529 nucleotides) under uncultured bacterium. Its description in RNAcentral is "bacterial SSU rRNA". It matches the Rfam family "Bacterial small subunit ribosomal RNA", at positions 777 to 1304 of the family's 1533-position model. The record is from RNAcentral.